UUAACUAUUAUAUAGUACUCAGACGACACUAAUAUUCAGAGUUUGGGGUCCUCUGGCGGGCGCUUACCAGCCGGAGCCGGUAGCCUGACCGAGAUCUGACGGCCCGCCAAAGCAACAAAGGUAAUAAUAACAUAGGGUGGGAGGUCUACCCGUAAGGGCAUGAACUCGGUAAUGAUCCCUCCGCAGGUUCACCUACGGAGA
RNAcentral lists this unclassified non-coding RNA (201 nucleotides) under uncultured fungus. RNAcentral's name for it is "sequence contains ITS1, 5.8S rRNA gene". The record is from RNAcentral. Lineage: Eukaryota; Fungi.